Molecule: ribosomal RNA, 429 nt
Filed under: Actinomycetes bacterium
Lineage: Bacteria; Bacillati; Actinomycetota; Actinomycetes
Description: Actinobacteria bacterium partial 16S ribosomal RNA
Rfam family: Bacterial small subunit ribosomal RNA
Source: RNAcentral
UAGGGAAUCUUCCGCAAUGGGCGAAAGCCUGACGGAGCAACGCCGCGUGAGUGAUGAAGGUCUUCGGAUCGUAAAACUCUGUUACUAGGGAAGAACAAAUGUGUAAGUAACUAUGCACGUCUUGACGGUACCUAAUCAGAAAGCCACGGCUAACUACGUGCCAGCAGCCGCGGUAAUACGAAGGUGGCAAGCGUUCUCCGGAAUUAUUGGGCGUAAAGCGCGCGUAGGCGGUUUUUUAAGUCAGAUGUGAAAGCCCACGGCUCAACCGUGGAGGUGCAUUGGAAACUGGAAGUCUUGAGUGUGGUAGAGGAAAGUGGAAUUCCGUGUGUAGCGGUGAAAUGCGCAGAGAUAUGGAGGAACACCAGUGGCGAAGGCGACUUUCUGGUCUGUAACUGACGCUGAGGUGCGAAAGCGUGGGGAGCAAACAGG